Long non-coding RNA from Cyprinus carpio (common carp), 469 nucleotides. RefSeq lists it as uncharacterized. NCBI's taxonomy places the organism in Eukaryota, Metazoa, Chordata, Actinopteri, Cypriniformes, Cyprinidae. The record is from RefSeq and is a predicted model, not a curated record. The transcript is spliced from 3 exons.
CAUAGGUUUGACCUGGAAUUUACUCGUUAACCGGUUUCUCAGACAUUGAUUCACACAUACAGAUAUGGCUCGACUAGAUGUCACCAAACUUUUCACAGCUUUAUGUUUCCUGGGCACAUGCAUACUCAAGGCUAACUGAACUAUGCGACCAACUUCAAGUUUCAUGAUACAGAUACUGUAAUUGUCACCUACCCAAAAUCAGGAACCACAUGGAUACAAGAAAUCAUCACUCUAGUUUUGAGUAAAGGGGACCCAACUAUAGCCCAAACUAAGCCAAACUGGGCCCGUGCACCAUGGCUUGAGCAGUACUACGCCGCUGAUGUUCUAAAAGCCUCUAGCGGGCCUUGUAUUAUUACUACACAUCUGCCUUACCACCUGCUGGCACCGGCCCUGCAACAUUCCAAAGCAAAGGUAAGUAGAUGGGCAAGUCACAAAUUGUACAUAGAGUUUUACAGUGGUGGACAGUAAC